Molecule: ribosomal RNA, 448 nt
Filed under: uncultured bacterium
Lineage: Bacteria
Description: bacterial SSU rRNA
Rfam family: Bacterial small subunit ribosomal RNA
Source: RNAcentral
CCAGACUCCUACGGGAGGCAGCAGUGGGGAAUAUUGGGCAAUGGGCGCAAGCCUGACCCAGCAACGCCGCGUGAAGGAAGAAGGCUUUCGGGUUGUAAACUUCUUUUGACAGGGAAGAGUAGAAGACGGUACCUGUCGAAUAAGCCACGGCUAACUACGUGCCAGCAGCCGCGGUAAUACGUAGGAGGCAAGCGUUAUCCGGAAUGACUGGGCGUAAAGGGUGCGUAGGUGGUUUGACAAGUUAGUAGCGCAACUCCGGAGCUUAACUUCGGAACUACUACUAAAACUGUUGGACUUGAGUGCAGGAGGGGCAAUCGGAAUUCCUAGUGUAGCGGUGGAAUGCGUAGAUAUUAGGAGGAACACCAGUGGCGAAGGCGGAUUGCUAGACUGUAACUGACACUGAGGCACGAAAGCGUGGGGAGCAAACAGGAUUAGAUACCCUAGUACG